UAUUAUGGUUGGGAUUGGAAGGAGAUGUUCAGGCUUGGACACCUCUUUCAGAUGACUUUAGGGUUUAGUUAAAAUAGAUAGUUAGGAUGUGACAUAAGCAGAUUGUUGUAUCUUAUAUUUUACCUUUAUGAUUGUUAAUUUUGGAUACUUACACUGUUAAGUUUUAAUCUUCUUUUAGACUAAAAGGGGAAUUGUAGGGGAAGCUGUAGCCAUGCCUACUUAGGGGCUGGCUACAGGUGUGCCUGACCACGCUUUCGAGGGCGUGGUCAGGGUGAUGUAAAGCGAUACUUGCAAGGGACUGUAUUUCUCUUUCAGUUUCACUUUUGGGCUUGUGUACAGACCGCCGUGCCGGCUGGCUAGGUUGCUCUCCUUCAUCCAGCAGCUGGUGGAAGUAGAAACAGACACCCACAGCUAAACCUUGAACUGAAGUGAAAUCCAGAUGCAGAGAAGAAGGACUGGAAAUGGGGCCAAGAAAAGCAGAACUACAGCUUCUAAGUACCGACUUUCUCUGCCCUAAGCGGAUUGAGACUUACUCCGGAAUAUGUGACCUUUCACCCUCAUUAUGAAGAAUGGAAUGAAAUCAUUUUCCAACUGAAUCAAAUCACUUAGAUGUGCCUAAGG
RNAcentral lists this long non-coding RNA (621 nucleotides) under Cricetulus griseus (Chinese hamster). Its description in RNAcentral is "lncRNA (ENSCGRG00015038035.1)". Lineage: Eukaryota; Metazoa; Chordata; Mammalia; Rodentia; Cricetidae. The record is from RNAcentral.